This 377-nucleotide ribosomal RNA is filed under the name uncultured eukaryote. Its description in RNAcentral is "partial 18S ribosomal RNA". It matches the Rfam family "Eukaryotic small subunit ribosomal RNA", at positions 592 to 976 of the family's 1831-position model. The record is from RNAcentral.
CAAUAGCGUAUAUUUAAGUUGCUGCAGUUAAAAAGCUCGUAGUUGGAUUUCGGGUGGGAAUGGCCGGUCCGCCGUUUCGGUGUGCACUUGCUACGCCCACCUUGCUGCCGGGGACGUGCUCUUGAGUUCACGCUCGGGACACGGAGUCGGCGAGGUUACUUUGAGUAAAUUAGAGUGUUCAAAGCAGGCCUACGCUCUGAAUACAUUAGCAUGGAAUAACACGAUAGGACUCUGGCCUAUCUUGUUGGUCUGUAGGACCGGAGUAAUGAUUAAUAGGGACAGUCGGGGGCAUUCGUAUUUCAUUGUCAGAGGUGAAAUUCUUGGAUUUAUGAAAGACGAACUACUGCGAAAGCAUUUGCCAAGGAUGUUUUCAUUAA